CCCUUAGAUGUUCCGGGCCGCACGCGUGCUACACUGAGUGGAUCAGCGGGUCAGGUUGCGCGAAAGUGUUUCCUAAUCUUGAAAUCCGCUCGUGAUGGGGAUUGACGGUUGCAAUUUUCCGUCAUGAACGAGGAAUACCUUGUAAGCGCGGGUCAUCAUCCCGCGCUGAAUACGUCCCUGCCCUUUGUACACACCGCCCGUCGCUCCUACCGAUUGAGUGGUCCGGUGAGGCUUUGGGAUCUGAGCAAAGAGAGCGUUUCGCUCGUUUUGCCCGGAAAACUCAGUCGAACCUUAUCAUUUAGAGGAAGGAGAAGUCGUAACA
RNAcentral lists this ribosomal RNA (322 nucleotides) under uncultured eukaryote. RNAcentral describes it as "partial 18S ribosomal RNA". It matches the Rfam family "Eukaryotic small subunit ribosomal RNA", at positions 1470 to 1796 of the family's 1831-position model. The record is from RNAcentral.